RNAcentral lists this ribosomal RNA (279 nucleotides) under uncultured bacterium. RNAcentral's name for it is "partial 16S ribosomal RNA". It matches the Rfam family "Bacterial small subunit ribosomal RNA", at positions 506 to 784 of the family's 1533-position model. The record is from RNAcentral.
UGCCAGCAGCCGCGGUAAUACGGAGGGGGCUAGCGUUGUUCGGAAUUACUGGGCGUAAAGCGCGCGUAGGCGGUUCUGCAAGUCGGAUGUGAAAGCCCGGGGCUCAACCCCGGACGUGCAUUUGAAACAGCAAGACUUGAAUACGGUAGAGGAGAGAGGAAUUCCUGGUGUAGAGGUGAAAUUCGUAGAUAUCAGGAGGAACACCGAUGGCGAAGGCAUCUCUCUGGACCGAUAUUGACGCUGAGGCGCGAAGGCGUUGCUAGCGAACGGGAUUAGAUA